Molecule: ribosomal RNA, 473 nt
Filed under: uncultured bacterium
Lineage: Bacteria
Description: bacterial SSU rRNA
Rfam family: Bacterial small subunit ribosomal RNA
Source: RNAcentral
ACUCCUACGGGAGGCAGCAGUGGGGAAUAUUGCACAAUGGGGCGCAAGCCUGAUGCAGCCAUGCCGCGUGUGUGAAGAAGGCCUUCGGGUUGUAAAGCACUUUUCAGUUGUGAGGAAGGUGGUGUCGUUAAUAGCGGCAUCAUUUGACGUUAGCAACAGAAGAAGCACCGGCUAACUCCGUGCCAGCAGCCGCGGUAAUACGGAGGGUGCGAGCGUUAAUCGGAAUUACUGGGCGUAAAGCGCAUGCAGGUGGUUUGUUAAGUCAGAUGUGAAAGCCCGGGGCUCAACCUCGGAAUUGCAUUUGAAACUGGCAGACUAGAGUACUGUAGAGGGGGGUAGAAUUUCAGGUGUAGCGGUGAAAUGCGUAGAGAUCUGAAGGAUACCGGUGGCGAAGGCGGCCCCCUGGACAGAUACUGACACUCAGAUGCGAAAGCUGGGGAGCAAACAGGAUUAGAUACCCUGGUAGCACAGAG